This 532-nucleotide long non-coding RNA is filed under the name Anas platyrhynchos platyrhynchos (common mallard). RNAcentral's name for it is "lncRNA (ENSAPLG00000028378.1)". Lineage: Eukaryota; Metazoa; Chordata; Aves; Anseriformes; Anatidae. The record is from RNAcentral.
GUAUUGCUCGGGCUGCAGGGUGCCAGAGCCAGGGCCCAUCCCACUGCCCCAGUCAGAGCCAGGCAUCUGAGGGCACUGGGGAAGCUCUAGGUGCAGGCAUCAGGCCUCCCUCUGGGAACAGGCCAAGGCCAAGACCAGGCCAGGACAUGGGCCUGUGGGGUUGUGUAGGGCUGGAGACCAGCCUUGCAGUGGUGUCACAGGGGUGGGGACUGAUGGCCUCUGGGGGCUGAAAUGGGGCCCUGGGCCCUGGGCAGGGUGGGGGGAGCCUCAGGGAGUAGUCAGGGCUGCUGGUGCCCUCAUGGACAUGACAGUUAUUUUGCCUCCUACCCCAGCUGGUCCCUGUAAGCAAUGUCAGAGAAAAACCCUGUUGGACUUGCAAGACCAAAACAAGAGCACUGAUGAUGCAUACUCAGCUGUUGACACCUGACCUGAGUUUCUAAGGUUCACUUUGCUGAAGUGACUCAUCAAGAUUUGGUGAAGCUACUGUAAAAGCAUUGCAAAUAUCGACAUAAAUAAAAGCAUGACUUCUGAA